AAUAGAUACCCAGGUAGUCCACGCUGUAAACGAUGUCAACUAGCUGUUGGUCAUAUUGAAAUGAUUAGUGGCGCAGCAAACGCGAUAAGUUGACCGCCUGGGGGAGUACGGUCGCAAGAUUAAAACUCAAAGGAAUUGACGGGGGGCCCGCACAAGCGGUGGAGCAUGUGGUUUAAUUCGAUGCAACGCGAAGAACCUUACCUACCCUUGACAUACAGAGAAUUCUGCAGAGAUGUGGGAGUGCCUUCGGGAACUCUGCUACAGGUGCUGCAUGGCUGUCGUCAGCUCGUGUCGUGAGAUGUUGGGUUAAGUCCCGUAACGAGCGCAACCCUUAUUAUUAGUUACCAGCACGUGAAGGCGGGGACUCUAAUGAGACUGCCGGUGACAAACCGGAGGAAGGCGGGGACGACGUCAAGUCAUCAUGGCCCUUACGGGUAGGGCUACACACGUGCUACAAUGGGUGAUACAGAGGGCAGCGAAGGGGCGACCUGGAGCGAAUCUUAUAAAGUCACUCGCAGUCCGGAGUUG
This 528-nucleotide ribosomal RNA is filed under the name uncultured bacterium. Its description in RNAcentral is "bacterial SSU rRNA". It matches the Rfam family "Bacterial small subunit ribosomal RNA", at positions 777 to 1301 of the family's 1533-position model. The record is from RNAcentral.